This 637-nucleotide ribosomal RNA is filed under the name uncultured bacterium. RNAcentral's name for it is "bacterial SSU rRNA". It matches the Rfam family "Bacterial small subunit ribosomal RNA", at positions 9 to 647 of the family's 1533-position model. The record is from RNAcentral.
GAGUUUGAUCAUGGCUCAGGAUGAACGCUAGCGGCAGGCUUAACACAUGCAAGUCGAGGGGUAUAGUUCUUCGGAAUUAGAGACCGGCGCACGGGUGCGUAACGCGUAUGCAAUCUACCUUUCACAGAGGGAUAGCCCAGAGAAAUUUGGAUUAAUACCUCAUAGUAUAACGACUCUGCAUGGAGGUGUUAUUAAAGUAACAACGGUGAAAGAUGAGCAUGCGUCCCAUUAGCUAGUUGGCAAGGUAACGGCUUACCAAGGCUACGAUGGGUAGGGGUCCUGAGAGGGAGAUCCCCCACACUGGUACUGAGACACGGACCAGACUCCUACGGGAGGCAGCAGUGAGGAAUAUUGGACAAUGGGCGCAAGCCUGAUCCAGCCAUGCCGCGUGCAGGAUGACGGUCCUAUGGAUUGUAAACUGCUUUUGCACAGGAAGAAACAACGCUACGUGUAGCGUCUUGACGGUACUGUGAGAAUAAGGAUCGGCUAACUCCGUGCCAGCAGCCGCGGUAAUACGGAGGAUCCAAGCGUUAUCCGGAAUCAUUGGGUUUAAAGGGUCCGUAGGCGGUUUAGUAAGUCAGUGGUGAAAGCCCAUCGCUCAACGGUGGAACGGCCAUUGAUACUGCUAGACUUGAAU